Molecule: small nucleolar RNA, 107 nt
Organism: Sorghum bicolor (sorghum)
Lineage: Eukaryota; Viridiplantae; Streptophyta; Magnoliopsida; Poales; Poaceae
Rfam family: Plant small nucleolar RNA R71
About the family: R71 is a member of the C/D box family of snoRNAs containing the C (UGAUGA) and D (CUGA) box motifs. Multiple nearly identical copies of this snoRNA have been identified in Arabidopsis, and it is thought to function as a 2'-O-ribose methylation guide for 18S ribosomal RNA.
Source: Rfam
UUCCAUGAUGAGGACAAUCUAAGAUGUAUCCUUGUAAACGCUCCCAUGCUUGUGAAAUGGUUUCUGCUUUCUACUGUUGAAAACUUGUAAUCUUUCCUCUUAAGGCA